UACAGAGGGGGCAAGCGUUGUUCGGAAUUACUGGGCGUAAAGGGCGCGUAGGCGGCCUACUAAGUCGGACGUGAAAUCCCCGGGCUCAACCCGGGAACUGCGUCCGAUACUGGAAGGCUUGAAUCCGGGAGAGGGAUGCGGAAUUCCAGGUGUAGCGGUGAAAUGCGUAGAUAUCUGGAGGAACACCGGUGGCGAAGGCGGGUCUCUGGGCAAUUCCUGACGCUGAGGCGCGAAAGCGUGGGGAGCAAACGGG
Molecule: ribosomal RNA, 253 nt
Filed under: uncultured bacterium
Lineage: Bacteria
Description: partial 16S ribosomal RNA
Rfam family: Bacterial small subunit ribosomal RNA
Source: RNAcentral